Molecule: ribosomal RNA, 597 nt
Filed under: uncultured bacterium
Lineage: Bacteria
Description: bacterial SSU rRNA
Rfam family: Bacterial small subunit ribosomal RNA
Source: RNAcentral
CGAUUAGAGUUUGAUCCUGGCUCAGGAUGAACGCUGGCGGCGUGCUUAACACAUGCAAGUCGAACGGAAAGGCCAGUGCUUGCACUGGUACUCGAGUGGCGAACGGGUGAGUAACACGUGGGUGAUCUGCCCUGUACUUCGGGAUAAGCUUGGGAAACUGGGUCUAAUACCGGAUAGGACAACUUUUUGGAUAUUGUUGUGGAAAGCUUUUGCGGUAUGGGAUGAGCUCGCGGCCUAUCAGCUUGUUGGUGGGGUAAUGGCCUACCAAGGCGUCGACGGGUAGCCGGCCUGAGAGGGUGUACGGCCACAUUGGGACUGAGAUACGGCCCAGACUCCUACGGGAGGCAGCAGUGGGGAAUAUUGCACAAUGGGCGCAAGCCUGAUGCAGCGACGCCGCGUGGGGGAUGAAGGCCUUCGGGUUGUAAACUCCUUUCGCUAGGGACGAAGCUUUUUGUGACGGUACCUGGAGAAGAAGCACCGGCUAACUACGUGCCAGCAGCCGCGGUAAUACGUAGGGUGCGAGCGUUGUCCGGAAUUACUGGGCGUAAAGAGCUCGUANGUGGUUUGUCGCGUCGUUUGUGUAAGUCCACAGCUUAA